GUGGGGAAUAUUGGACAAUGGGCGAAAGCCUGAUCCAGCAAUGCCGCGUGGGUGAAGAAGGUCUUCGGAUUGUAAAGCCCUUUCGGCGGGGACGAUGAUGACGGUACCCGCAGAAGAAGCCCCGGCUAACUUCGUGCCAGCAGCCGCGGUAAUACGAAGGGGGCUAGCGUUGCUCGGAAUGACUGGGCGUAAAGGGCGCGUAGGCGGUGCAUUUGGUCAGGCGUGAAAGUCCUGGGCUCAACCUGGGGACGGCGCUUGAUACGGGUGUGCUUGAGUGUGGAAGAGGGUCGUGGAAUUCCCAGUGUAGAGGUGAAAUUCGUAGAUAUUGGGAAGAACACCGGUGGCGAAGGCGGCGACCUGGUCCAUUACUGACGCUGAGGCGCGAAAGCGUGGGGAGCAAACAGGAUUAGAAACCCGUGUAGUCC
Molecule: ribosomal RNA, 425 nt
Filed under: uncultured bacterium
Lineage: Bacteria
Description: bacterial SSU rRNA
Rfam family: Bacterial small subunit ribosomal RNA
Source: RNAcentral